UUUUUUUUGGACUGUCUACUGAGUUGAAAAAAUGCCCUUAUAAGUUUUGAAAAAUUUUGAUGGGAUGGGACAGAAUUAUAUUUUUUCAGAAGAAGGAGAGAAAAUUGCUCUGCAAUAUAUAAUUACAGUUAGAUGUGACUAAUUAAGACCACAUUCGAGUAUAACAGAAGAUACUUAAGCCCUCUUAUCAAGGUGGAUUUGUCGAACGCAAAAGAGUGGAACGAAAAUAAUUGCACUGGAAGCUCAAAAGACUGCCAGAGGGUUACAGUUCCCGAAAAAUGUUUGAAGGUAUAAUGACAAAUAGAAAGUUUAGGCAUCAGGAUCAACUCAUGUGAGUAUAAAAAAGAGAUCACCUGGCUGUGGACAACGACUGAACUAUGGAGUCAGCAUCAUAACCGCCAGUCAUUAGUAAAUAUCGCUUUUCAGAACAUGUCCAUAGGAUGCAUAAAUAGUCGCUGACGCUGAAAAUGUUUAAUGCGGUACUAGCACGUGAUGAAGGAGAACGGAGAAGGAGAACGGAGAUUAUAUCUUUUUAAAAAGGUGAAGUAGAAAGCAACAGAUGAGCGUGGUUUCACAGGCGGCAAUGAUUUUUUAUUCCACCUACUUGAAAAAUUUUGACUCGGUAACUGUUUACUGAUCUUUCUCAUUGCCAUAUUCGUCCAACGCGUAAUGUGCUUGUACAAAAACGCCUACACGAAAAUUCAAUAUUAUGUUCAAUUCAAACAUUUAUGAUGGACCAGCGAGACCACAAGCGGACAGCCAAUGUGCAGUCAACCUCGAAUUGGCUUUGGCCGAAACGGGCAGCAAACAAAUUUAUUGUAGUAGUUGCACGCAAAAAAUUAAGUAGUAAAAUAUGUAUGUGAAAUGUUAGUGAUUGUGACAGCAGUUGGCCGCUUUAUUUGGAUUUUCAACGCCACUUCCCACAACAAAGCGGCAGUUCGAUAGAGUGCACAGUGGCACGAGAAGUAAAUGCACAUAUAAGUACAUACAAUAUAUUUCUGAAAUAUAUAUUUUUAACUGAAUAUUUUAAUUCAAAA
Bactrocera oleae (olive fruit fly) is the source of this 1037-nucleotide non-coding RNA. Lineage: Eukaryota; Metazoa; Arthropoda; Insecta; Diptera; Tephritidae. The record is from RefSeq and is a predicted model, not a curated record.